RNAcentral lists this ribosomal RNA (462 nucleotides) under bacterium enrichment culture clone TH5-14. Its description in RNAcentral is "bacterial SSU rRNA". It matches the Rfam family "Bacterial small subunit ribosomal RNA", at positions 977 to 1434 of the family's 1533-position model. The record is from RNAcentral.
GGGCUUGACAUCCCACGAACCUGAAAGGGUGGCCCUGGUUUGGUAACAUUCCACAGCAAGACAGGUGUUGCAUGGCUGUCGUCAGCUCGUGUCGUGAGAUGUUGGGUUAAGUCCCGCAACGAGCGCAACCCUCAUCCGAUGUUGCCAGCGAGUAAGGUCGGGAACUCUUCGGAAACUGCCCGUGUAGGCGGGAGGAAGGUGGGGAUGACGUCAAGUCAGCAUGGCCCUUACGCCUGGGGCUACACACAUGCUACAAUGGACGUGAACAAAGGGCAGCAAGACCGCGAGGUGGAGCUAAUCUCAAAAAUACGUCCUCAGUUCGGAUCGCAGUCUGCAACUCGACUGCGUGAAGUCGGAAUCGCUAGUAACCGCAGGUCAGCUAAACUGCGGUGAAUACGUUCCCGGGCCUUGUACACACCGCCCGUCACAUCACGAAAGCCGGCUGUACUCGAAGUCGCUGAG